Mytilus californianus (California mussel) is the source of this 1106-nucleotide long non-coding RNA. RefSeq lists it as uncharacterized. NCBI's taxonomy places the organism in Eukaryota, Metazoa, Mollusca, Bivalvia, Mytilida, Mytilidae. The record is from RefSeq and is a predicted model, not a curated record. The transcript has 4 exons.
UAUUCGCAUUGGUAAAAGUGGUAUGAAGGUAUUUACAUUGUUAUAUUAAAAGAAAAAACGUGACAUUUGUUUAAAUUCUGACAUUUAUCGCUGACACAUGCUAUAUAAACUUUAGUGCUCCAAGAAAAUUUUCCAUUUCAUGUAUCUGGGUGAAUAGGAAAGUGUACAUACUAUUACACAGAAAAAGAGGUCAGAAUUUGGUGGUCUACAAGAAAUAUGUCAAACAACAGUAUUACCGGCUCAACGCAAACUACACUUGGGACAGCACAAGACAACACCAAUAUAGCUAUAACUAUUAAUGUUGGUCGACUCCCAUUGAAACGAAAUAGUCAAACUGCAAGUAGAGAUUUUAAUCAAAAUGGAAAUUGUCGUUUCAUAUGGAAGUCUUCAGAUCCCGGCGAUCCACGCAAUAUGGACAUUGAACUAACUAAUGAAAACUUUGGAAAACAGAUAACAAAUGAAUGAGUGAAGACUGACGACAAAGUUUGCAUGAAUUAAUCAUAUGAACACAUUCCAUGCAUAUCAGAUAUGGACAUAUCUGGACGUAAACCAACAACAACAAUCAAUAAGUCAUACUCAUAAGAAACAUAAGUUAACCUGUGACCUGUUAUUCUUCUUUAAUCAACUGUUUGUCUAGUACUGUAACAGAUACUAUUCUAUGGCCAAAUUUGUAAAUGUAUAUGUAUGACAAAGUGCACUAACAUGGAUAUAUAGGUUAAUCUAUAUAUACUGCAAACAUUAUAUCCCAACUCAUAGAGGGGGGCUAUAUUUUAUUCACCUUGUCCGUCUUAUCAUUCGUUCGUCUGUUGACUUUAAAACAUCAUAGAAAUUGCAACUUCAUCUAGAAAAUUUCGCCAAAUUUAUACUCAUCACAAAAUCUCAAGACCAAAUGACACAGAAAUUAACAACUAUAGGUCACCGUACGGCGUUCAACAAUGAGCAAAACCCAUACCGCAAAGUCAGCUACAAAAGGCCCCUAAAUGACAAUUGUAAACAAUUAAAACCAGAAAACUAACGGCCUAAUUUUUGUACAAAAAAAUAAGCAUAUUAGUUUUUUGUUGUGGUAUUGUACAUGUUGUACAUGAAUAAAGCCAUUGGUUUACUUG